This 1307-nucleotide long non-coding RNA is filed under the name Mytilus galloprovincialis (Mediterranean mussel). The record is from RNAcentral. Lineage: Eukaryota; Metazoa; Mollusca; Bivalvia; Mytilida; Mytilidae.
UAUUUUCCUGAAUUUAGUUUAUUCCUUUGUUGUUCUUUUACACCAAUGUCCACGGUUAGAUAGAGGGGUUGAGGUCAGCACAAUUCAUUACUCUCUUUUGCAUGAACAACACAGCGGGUACCGGGUUGCUUUACGCGGCAUUAGCACAACAAGGCUAUAUCGCGCGAUGCGUUUCGUAUUGUCAUUGCGCUGUUAUUUUGUCGUCGACUUACGGGUUUGAAUAUCUCUCUGGUAUCUAAGUCCUGGCCUUGAAGGCAUAAAACUUUCGAGUCAGUUUUUUGUACUCGUACUCUAAAAUCAAGCAAUCAAAAUGUUGGAUUUUAUGUUUCGAGCAUGAUUAUGUGCUCCGAGCACUGAGUUUUGUGACUUCAACCCCUGCCACAUGAGUCAGAGAUUGUAAGAAAUUUGAUCUAAACUCUGGAAGAAGGAUCAUCGAAAAUACGAGUGAACAAUGAGUUUCCUGACUAGUGUUUCCUCCUUCUUCUGUCCUGUGUUUAGCUUAAAAUAAAUUAACAAGACGAUGCCAGUUACAUGUACAUAUAACACCAGCGACGGACUUAUGAGGAAGAUAUUUGUUUGCCGUGGAGUCAUAUCAAUUUAAGAAUUUGUUUCUUAAUUUCUUAAUUACUGUCAGUCCCACUAUUGCAAAAAAAAAAAAAGAGAGACAGAAGUUACCAAAGGCACAUUCAAACGACAAACUACAGUAUACAGGUUGCAACAUGAUCAACUUAAAAAGAGUGCAACCAAAACGCCACCAAAAAACCGGCAGUGAUACAAGGUGCCUUGGGAGUGUCAGAGUAUCAUACUCAGUCUUCUGACUCAUAAAUACGAACCCGAUGUUAAGUCUUUUUCGGCAUGUCAUAGUCGGAAAAAAGGAGUGUGCGGUUGUGGUUACGAUGAUUGGAACACAGCCGUCAUCAUCUGUGAAUCAGAAAUCCCCAACGUUCAACCAACUAGCUAUAUUAAUGGCUUCCGAAAAAUGUUUUAAGGAAUCUCAUCUUUGUUAGAUGUCUUUCUCUUAUGGUACACUUCAAUCCAGUAUUCCGGUUCAAUAACAUUCUAUUUCUAUCUUAAGAUAAUUAUUUGGUGUAAACAUUGUUAGUUUAUAAUUUUCAUGCAUAUGUAGGUAGCCAUAGUCAAUAUUACCUAAUAGGCAUGUAAACACUUGUUAAAUGUUGAUACACAGAGAUAUCAUGUAAUCUUAAAACAACAAAAGCACUUGCGAUACAAUGUAUUUAUUUGUUCGGAUUUUUGAUCUGUUUAAAAUUUAUAAAUGUUAUAUAAUGUUUUACGAAACGCACGUCUGG